UAUGAACCACACUGUAGACAUCUAUCAUGGAUUGAGCAGAGAUGAUUUAACCAAUCAUAAUUUGAUGGAAAACUGUUUAAAGAGGUAGCAUACAUUCAUACAUGUACCAGUAACCUUUGGAGAUAAGGCAGUCAGAUAGGCUAAAGUAUAACACUCAGCAUCCUUCAGUCUACUUGAUGGUUUUUCUUAGGGGUCUCCAGUGAAGACUCUCCACAGUUCUUUAGGAUUUUGAGUUUGGAAGACUCCAAAAAUGGAAAGCUGAUGGCAGCACUGGAAAAUAAGACAGGACAGAGGUUUAAUGAUGGGGUCUGAUAUUCUAAGGAGGUGUUGCUUGUAGAAGCUAGGAUCAUUGCUUCCAUUGUCGAUAACACACAGAAAGAGGUUUAUGUGAUCAGGUUAUGGUUCUCAACGACCCAGACACUUUCUAGACCUUGUGCAAAGUUGUAACUAUCUUAUUUGUGCAAUAUACAUAAUUUUCAUGUAAACCAAGGACAUUGUCAUAUCCUUUUAGGAGAUUGGAGACAGCCCUUCAGUGAGGGAUGGACUUUAUUAAUAUAAAUGAUGUGAUACUCUAACUCACUAAUUGUAUUAUAAAAGAUGUGCACACUAAGUAUCAAUAGCUUUUACCAUCUCGGCUCUGAGACCUAUGAAAUGAUUAUGGUUCAUAAUCAUAAUAUAAUUAUAAUCAUAAUCAUAUGAUUAUGGUGAUAAUGAUUAUGUGAGUUUUCACCAUCUUGGCUCCAAGUAGCUGCAGAACUGUAGCUCUCCGAAAAAAAAAUUGACAGACCGGAGAGCUACAGUGCCAUCCAUUGAAAAAACUGUAUAUUUAUUGCGCACAAAAAGUUGCGCUCUUCUGGAUUUAUUUCUCCAAAUUCUUAACCUCAACUGCACAAAAGCUCAAUUUCAAAAAGAAUCCUUAGACCUCUAUCAACUACUCUUGUAGUUGACAUCUUUACGAAGCGAAUUUGGCUGAAAUGUCUAUCCACAAAAAAUGGCAGUAUUUACAGGCGAAAUUUUGGAUGGUCUCAAUUUCAGGCAAAGGAGGGCUAUUAACAAUGGUUAUAGGAAAUGUUUUGAUGUGGGAAUAGUGACAAAAUGAGUUAGGAACACACGGUCAGUAAUAUUUUGAGACUGCAGUUUAAAAAUAUGGAGAAAUAAAUCGAGAAACAGCACACUUUUCUGUGCGCAAUAAAUAUACACUUUUUUUCAAUGGGUGGCACUGUAGCUCUCUGGUUGUCCAUCCCAAUUUUUUCAGACCAGCAAGCUACAGACCUGCAGCUAGGCUCCAAGACCUCAAGCCAAUGUACCAUUGUUUUACUCAAAUGUUUUUGUUGUGAUUUUUUUUUUAAUAAUAAAUCUUUAUAAACUUUCAA
Saccostrea echinata is the source of this 1373-nucleotide long non-coding RNA. RefSeq lists it as uncharacterized. The record is from RefSeq and is a predicted model, not a curated record. The transcript is spliced from 3 exons. NCBI's taxonomy places the organism in Eukaryota, Metazoa, Mollusca, Bivalvia, Ostreida, Ostreidae.